This 87-nucleotide transfer RNA is filed under the name Deltaproteobacteria bacterium. RNAcentral describes it as "tRNA-Leu". It matches the Rfam family "tRNA". From Rfam's summary of the family: Transfer RNA (tRNA) molecules are approximately 80 nucleotides in length. Their secondary structure includes four short double-helical elements and three loops (D, anti-codon, and T loops). The record is from RNAcentral. Lineage: Bacteria; Pseudomonadati; Myxococcota; Myxococcia.
GCCGAAGUGGUGGAACUGGUAGACACGCCAUCUUGAGGGGGUGGUGGGCGAAAGCCCGUGGGGGUUCGACUCCCCCCUUCGGCACCA